GCACAUGCUCCCAUCGUGAUUCGCAUUGACAAUCGUUUAAUUCACUUUUAAUUACCUCAAUAACAAGUAAAAUUAAAACUCGUCGUACCAUUUUGAUUGGCAUAUAAGUUGCAGUAAAUUAUUUCAUCAUUUCAAUCUUCUUCGAUCCAUUCGAAUUGAGUUUUUCCGCUUGUGCGAAUAAAGUCCAGCGUCGAGUAGACGAUAAAUCAGAAAUGUCAUCUGAUAUUUCCGCCAAGGUUUUAUAAACAGAACAUCUCGAGUAUACAAACAAGUUCUCGUUUCUUUAAAACAAAAUAUACCAAAACUAAUAAAAUAAGCUGAGAGAUAAGUAGAAAAAUCUGGAACGCCACUCUUUUUCACAUUGAAAUGAGUUUGGUAAACUGAAAACUUACCGCUACGCGCACAAUUCGAAGGUUUAUCAAGAAACGGUCCACAGUAUUUCGCCAUUCUAGACUCUACCGCUACACAGUCGGUUAUUAAUAAGUGGCAGUUUUCUUUUUUUUAAAAUGUUUUUAUGCCAAAAAUCCUCAUGCACAGAAAACACAACAAUGUUAACGCAGCAUCUGGCAUGUUGCCAACAGAAUCUUAUCUUUGGCCGUUUAUACACAAUAUUUUCAAACCGAUUUUAUUAACACUCAACUUUGGAUUGGAGGAAAUAAAGUUUCAGGAAUCCCCCACCAGGUGCCACUGCAGUUUAAUAACAACAAUGGCUGCCAUUCCCCACAUUGAUUAGUGCCUGGUAGUUCUUAGUGGUCUGUCUUUCACGUUUCGAUGAAGUAUUAUAUCAGGUGAAGAUUUGGCAGUGGCCUAAAUAGUGAAUAAGUGAGCCAUGCCGGUGCUGCCAGCAUAUUUGACGUUCACUCAGUUCAAGUGAGUGUUAACUGUUUACCAGAAGAAAAGUCACCGCGCACCAAGUGUAUACUUCUCAUCUUUUAUUAGAAUUCAUCAUAAUUAUCUUCUGUUUGUAUUGGAUUUCCUAGACACAUAAGAUAGAAGUACCCAAACAUCAAUUAAUUGCUGCUAUUGCAAUUUAGAAGAAAAAUGGUCCAAAUCAUGAUUUAUUGGUUUUUGCUGCGCUCUCUCAGUUUCACUUAGUAUACUCCUAUUGAAAACCGGAAGGCGACGUAAGCCGAUGGCCUCAACUCAACUACACAAAAUGCAAAUGUUCAUGAACGGACCCCACGGCAUUUACUCCGCAAUCCAGCUGUGAUCAACUUGUGUGGACCCAGUUUUCAGUGUUCCAGCGUCAACACACACGAACCCGAUGAACCGAAUGAAACUCGACAUUAGAAGAUGAAUUUCGAGAUGGCUGGAGCUGAGAGGAGGACAACAACUUGGGUCGGCCUGGCUCUCAUGGGUUCCAAUUCGGCGCUUUAGCCCCUCUCACUUGAGAGGAAUACAGCUAAGAUAUUAUGGAACCCAUCACGUACUUUGUGACUGUUAAGUCAUAAUCCAAAUAUUGAAUCCCUCAUCAGUUCCAAUUCUUUGCUGCCACUAUAUUGUGGACUGUGAGUUAAUGCUGUCACUCUAGAGGUUGCAGAGACCAUCAAAACAAGUUCUCAUUUAAGACGAUCUAGUAUUGAUUGAUUUGAGUUUAAUCCUUUACCGCUGUUCCAAAGACUUGAUUCUUUGGUGAAACUGAGGAGAGAUCGCUGAAAUUCAAGACUGACCGAUAAUUUAUUUUGAUGUAGAAAAAUGACGAAAAAUGACAAGUGCAUAAUCUGGGCUCCCUUCUUUUCUGUGGCCCCGUUUCCCUAACCAACGCCCGCCGAUGGUCACUCACCCGCUGUGAAACCAGGAGGAGGGGAGGGCUCUGGUCGAACGGGGACUUGGAAGGCGCAUGAUCCGAUGAAAACUUUUGGAGGGUCAUGUGUCUAACCCGGAAGCCUAGUAUGACUACAUCUCCCCGGUAAAACUUGCCUCGUACUUCUCUCUUCUUCUCGGUCCAGAUACUUAUCUCUGGGGGCCGUAGACAUGUCCUAUAACAGCAUGUGCGAGUUAGAACAAUGCAUCCACUACCCAAUGAAACAAAUAGCCAUGGUUUAUUUUUUGUGGAACUCUCCGUCAGUAGUUACAAAGACGAUGGAGAUUUCCGCAAAACUAAACUAUCGCUUUUUGUCUCAUUGCCGCAGCGGUGGUGGCGGGUUGCGUUCUAAUCUCGUGCAGAAGAAAAACCGUCUUGAACCGGACGCUCUGUUUAUUGAAUUUAUGGUACAAUUCAAAAAUAAA
Molecule: long non-coding RNA, 2229 nt
Filed under: Daphnia pulex (common water flea)
Lineage: Eukaryota; Metazoa; Arthropoda; Branchiopoda; Diplostraca; Daphniidae
Description: uncharacterized LOC124205922, transcript variant X2
Source: RNAcentral